This is a non-coding RNA of Hydra vulgaris (swiftwater hydra), 1091 nucleotides long. The record is from RefSeq and is a predicted model, not a curated record. NCBI's taxonomy places the organism in Eukaryota, Metazoa, Cnidaria, Hydrozoa, Anthoathecata, Hydridae.
UUAAUAGUACCGUAUGAAUAUAUUUGAGUUAAUUGGUUUCGAUUGUUUGAUUCACUAUUAAUCAAAUUUAAUAAUUUUUUAUUUUUUUAAAUACAUCUUUUUCAUCCAUUACAAAUCUAAAUACUAAAGUUUACACGUUUAUUAUUAGAGAUGCUUAUGUAACCAUCAGUAAUGGAACAAUUACUCACGUGAUUUUGAUUUGCAGAUAGAUGGAUUUUGGUAAUGCAGGCCCGUAUCCAUUUCCUUGAAAACAACAUAAUUUAAGUAAUGAGGCUGCUGUUAUGGAAAAUUUUAUGGUAAAAUCUUGUGAGGCAGAUCAUACAAAUUUAAGAAAGCCCUUUUGAAAAACACUUUUUUUGUUAAUAUAUUUUUAAACCAUGAGUGUAAUCAACACACUCGCCACUGUAUUGGAAUUAUCUGUUCUUCCUGACGAUAUUCAACAUAUUUUAUUUGAAUCCGGUUUUACACUAAGGUCAUUUGUAUUAACCACACAAGAGGGCCUUGUCAAAUUAGGAUUUAGGAUGGCAGAAAAAAAGUUACUGCAGAAAUGGAUUAGGGCUCAACCGGUUGUUAAUAUUCCAGCUGGUAAUGAAUAUGUUGCCACACAGUGUUUAUUGAGUAUUGAUAAAAAAAGUGAACUUGCGGUUGAAUGUCUUGUUUGGCUUCUCCUACCCCAUCAAAAAAAAAACAGUUAAAAUGACUUGUUUGCUACCGAAUGUGGUUAUGCAAAAUCUUUUCUUUGACUUCAAGGGUGGCACAGUUGACAGUGCACUAAAGACACUGGAGGAUCGCGGGGUUAAAUAACCAAUGAUGUUGCGCAUAUCUGAUGGAUAUUAUAUAAAGGCUGACAACACAGUUUUAACACUGCCUUGUUGCAGCUGUUUUAUGAAGGCAUUGGAGUUUUUAUUUAUGUUUUUUUAUGUUUUCGCCGUGAAAUAUCCGACCGAAUUUAGAUUUUUUUAUGGCUUUUUGGAGAAAGUCAUGGGACUUAAAUGUACUGUGAAAAGUUCAACCGUUGCUGAUUUGUUUACUAACAUAAUUUUUCUUACAUAUGUAUAAAUAUGUAAGAAAGGAUGGGUUUAAAUAUGUUU